This is a long non-coding RNA of Contarinia nasturtii (swede midge), 450 nucleotides long. RefSeq lists it as uncharacterized. The transcript has 4 exons. The record is from RefSeq and is a predicted model, not a curated record. NCBI's taxonomy places the organism in Eukaryota, Metazoa, Arthropoda, Insecta, Diptera, Cecidomyiidae.
UAAUCACUGUUCAUUACAAAACUAAGUAAAAACAGAUCUGUUAACUGAAGUCUAUUCAAUAAUAAGAUAUAAAAAAAUUGCAUAAAAAUCCAUUCAAAAUGAGAAUUUCAUUUUUAUUCAUUUUCGUUGUGUUUGCCAUCAUUGCAAGUACAUUAGCUGGUGCUGAUUCGUCUUCAAGCUCAACAAAAUUAGUUCAUCGCUGCCGAUGCAGACCAAGAAAAUGUCCAGAGACAUCAUCAUCAGAGGACAACAGCUGCAAUUGCGAAAAUGAGUGUAGUGACGUCUGUAAAAAGAAAUAAUGCACCGUAUCGAAUUUGACAAACAACCCACUAAUUUUUACGGAAAUGAUAUCUACCUUGCUUCGCUUAUUUUAUUCAUUAUCUAUUUAUUAUUAAACACUUUGCACAUUAUUUCAUUAAAUGCACGAAAAAAAUUAUAGUUUGAAUUCUA